This 1105-nucleotide long non-coding RNA is filed under the name Equus caballus (horse). RNAcentral describes it as "lncRNA (ENSECAG00000056207.1)". Lineage: Eukaryota; Metazoa; Chordata; Mammalia; Perissodactyla; Equidae. The record is from RNAcentral.
UUGAUUGAUCGCAGAGAGCACAAGCAAUGAUUUGGUUGGGGCAGAAGGCUUUUGUUUCCAAUAUUAGAAAAUUCAAAGUAGAGUGUUUUAACCUCUCUAGGAGGUGACAUUUAAGCUGAAAUUUGAAUGACAAGAAGCAGCAAGUUAUAUGACUAUGAAGAAGAGAAUUUUGGGCAAAAGGAAUAACAGAUUCUGAGGUGGGAAGACGUAUAUUUGAGAAACAGCCAGAGGCUUCUGUGGCUAGAGAGAAAUGAAGAACAGAGAGAGUAAGAGAUGAGGCUGGAGAGACAAAAAGAGCCAGCUCCUGUCGUGAGGGUGUGGAAUUGAAAUUUUAUUCUGAGUGUUAUGUGAAGCCAUUGAAGGGUUUUAAGCAAAAAAAAAGAGAGAAAAAAAAAGGAUGUGUCAUUCACUCAGUAUCCCCAAUGCUUGGCAUAUAACAGGUGCUCAGAAAUGGGAUGAAUGAGCUGAGAUAAUGCAUAUAAAGUGCUUUUUAAACAAUGGAAUAUUUCAGAAUUGACAGUCAUCAUCAUUUGGAGGAGAAAAAGACACUGCCCCCAGUAUCAUCCUCUUAACUCACAAAGCUAUAACAGACUUCUGGGGAAUGAGGGUGGAAAUCUAGAGACGCUUGAUUUUUACAGCACCUCUUUUCUGUUCAAAUAACUUCAAACUACCUCAAGACGCCUGGUUGCAAUAGCACUGGCCAGACUCCAGAAGAAAUUUCCAUGAAGAAUUCACUCUUGGCCCCCGAGGUGGAACAGCAAGAUCAAGAAGGGAAUAGAGUGCAAAGAGAAAGAGUGAAGAGCAGUUGCUUAUUGCCAUCUGGGAUGCAAGAGUUUGCGCCACUGCGAGCAAUUGCUAAAGAAUUCCAGUACAGCUAUCUGAAAAAGACCCAAGCACAAGAAAAGAGCAUCCUGUUCUGAAAUCUCAGAAAGGAUAAAUUGCAUCUUGCAGUGCAGAAGGACAAAAACAAUCAUUAAAGUCAAGUGGGCCUGGCAUAAGGGGGUCCGAACAGCACUGGGAAGCUUUUAGUGGUUUUGUCCCCUGGUCCCCUCUCCCAGGAAUGAAGCCCUUCCAGGUGCUUUAUAUAUCCUUAUCGAUCACCUCU